CUUCGUUCACCUUAUUUGUGGUAGUUGCAGAUGGUAUAUUCAAAGUCUCUGAGAGAGUAGAUUGUAGAAGAAAUUCACAGCUUUCUCCACCAGGUAAAAAGCUCUCCACAAAUUUGAGAUGGGCAUCAAAUUCUUCAGCCAGAAUGGUAACCAUCUCCAUGUUUUCAGCUACCGUUUCCACUGAUCCUAAUUGAAGAACACCAUAAGGUAUACAAGGUACCAGCAAUAUAGUCUUAAUGCCAGCGACAAACUGAAGCAUCCACUUAUCUGGACACUCAGCAACAGAACCAAACCCAAGCUCUGCAGGUGCUACACUGUCGGAAGAAAUCCAGCGGGGGAUGCCCAAAGAAGCCACUUCACCUACCACCCCUUUUCCUGCAAUGUGAUAAGUACUUGACAUCUCAGCCACGGCUAAGCCAAUUGAAUGUGCACUCAAAUAUCCAUUAUGUGAUCUUGACCCACAGUUUGGGGAUAAGUCACUCAAGUUUUUGCUAUAAUAAUUGCCAUUUUGACUUCUGUAAGGUUCUCUAGCACCCGGAACAUCCAGAUAUCCAUCUUCCCAUGUCAAAAUGAUAGGACACUGG
RNAcentral lists this unclassified non-coding RNA (584 nucleotides) under Hevea brasiliensis (rubber tree). Lineage: Eukaryota; Viridiplantae; Streptophyta; Magnoliopsida; Malpighiales; Euphorbiaceae. The record is from RNAcentral.